GAGUUUGAUCCUGGCUCAGGAUGAACGCUAGCGGCAGGCUUAAUACAUGCAAGUCGAGGGGCAGCAGCUUUAUAGCAAUAUAGAGGCUGGCGACCGGCAAACGGGUGCGGAACACGUACACAACCUUCCUUGAAUAGGGGGAUAGCCCAUAGAAAUGUGGAUUAAUACCCCGUAAUAUAGCGGUGUGGCAUCACACUGUUAUUAUAGUUUCGGCGAUUCGAGAUGGGUGUGCGGCUGAUUAGGUAGUUGGCGGGGUAAAGGCCCACCAAGCCUUCGAUCAGUAGCUGAUGUGAGAGCAUGAUCAGCCACACGGGCACUGAGACACGGGCCCGACUCCUACGGGAGGCAGCAGUAAGGAAUAUUGGUCAAUGGACGCAAGUCCGAACCAGCCAUGCCGCGUGAAGGAUGAAGGUCCUCUGGAUUGUAAACUUCUUUUAUAGGGGGCGAAAAAAGGUCUUUCUAGAUCACUGACAGUACCG
This 479-nucleotide ribosomal RNA is filed under the name uncultured Bacteroidota bacterium. RNAcentral describes it as "bacterial SSU rRNA". It matches the Rfam family "Bacterial small subunit ribosomal RNA", at positions 9 to 480 of the family's 1533-position model. Lineage: Bacteria; Pseudomonadati; Bacteroidota. The record is from RNAcentral.